AGCUAGACAAGUACUGGCCUCAGCAGAUUGAAGAGGACACAAUAGUGGUCGCCAUGCAGUCUGCUGAGGUUGGAGCUGCUGAGAUGA
This is a microRNA precursor of Saimiri boliviensis boliviensis (Bolivian squirrel monkey), 87 nucleotides long. The record is from Ensembl. NCBI's taxonomy places the organism in Eukaryota, Metazoa, Chordata, Mammalia, Primates, Cebidae.